RNAcentral lists this transfer RNA (91 nucleotides) under Reticulibacter mediterranei. RNAcentral's name for it is "tRNA-Ser". It matches the Rfam family "tRNA". From Rfam's summary of the family: Transfer RNA (tRNA) molecules are approximately 80 nucleotides in length. Lineage: Bacteria; Bacillati; Chloroflexota; Ktedonobacteria; Ktedonobacterales; Reticulibacteraceae. The record is from RNAcentral.
UGGAGGAGUCUCAUAGUGGUCUAGUGAGCACGACUGGAAAUCGUGUAGGGUGAAUAGCCCUCGCGGGUUCGAAUCCCGCCUCCUCCGCCCA